AUUCCUAUAGGAUCCUAUAGGAAUUCCUAUAGGAUCCUAUAGGAAUUCCUAUAGGAUCCUAUAGGAAUUCCUAUAGGAUCCUAUAGGAAUU
Paramuricea clavata is the source of this 91-nucleotide non-coding RNA. The record is from the annotation of a GenBank genome assembly. NCBI's taxonomy places the organism in Eukaryota, Metazoa, Cnidaria, Anthozoa, Malacalcyonacea, Plexauridae.